GAUAAACGCUGGCGGCGUGCUUAACACAUGCAAGUCGAACGAAGUUUUUCUUUCGGGAGGAACUUAGUGGCGGACGGGUGAGUAACGCGUGGGUAACCUGCCCUGUACAGGGGGACAACAGCUGGAAACGGCUGCUAAUACCGCAUAAGCCCUUAGCACUGCAUGGUGCAUAGGGAAAAGGGGCAAUCCGGUACAGGAUGGACCCGCGUCUGAUUAGCCAGUUGGCAGGGUAACGGCCUACCAAAGCGACGAUCAGUAGCCGAUCUGAGAGGAUGUACGGGCACAUUGGGACUGAGACACGGCCCAGACUCCUACGGGAAGCAGCAGUGGGGAAUAUUGCACAAUGGAGGAAACUCUGAUGCAGCGACGCCGCGUGAGUGAAGAAGUAUUUCGGUAUGUAAAGCUCUAUCAGCAGGAAAGAAAAUGACGGUACCUGACUAAGAAGCACCGGCUAAAUACGUG
Molecule: ribosomal RNA, 462 nt
Filed under: uncultured bacterium
Lineage: Bacteria
Description: partial 16S ribosomal RNA
Rfam family: Bacterial small subunit ribosomal RNA
Source: RNAcentral